UACGGAAGGUCCGGGCGUUAUCCGGAUUUAUUGGGUUUAAAGGGAGCGCAGGCUGGAUUUUAAGCGUGCUGUGAAAUGUACCGGCUCAACCGGUGACGUGCAGCGCGAACUGGAGUCCUUGAGUGAGUACGAGGUAUGCGGAAUUCGUGGUGUAGCGGUGAAAUGCUUAGAUAUCACGAAGAACCCCGAUUGCGAAGGCAGCGUACCAGUCCUUAACUGACGCUAAAGCUCGAAAGUGCGGGUAUCGAAC
RNAcentral lists this ribosomal RNA (250 nucleotides) under uncultured prokaryote. RNAcentral's name for it is "partial 16S ribosomal RNA". It matches the Rfam family "Bacterial small subunit ribosomal RNA", at positions 524 to 773 of the family's 1533-position model. The record is from RNAcentral.